UGAGGCUAAAUAAUAAGUUACGGUGGUAUGUGCGUUUUCUUUUGAGGGAGCCUUGUGUUGUCUAUCACUCCGGACCAGUGUGGCGGUAGUGCGCAGAUAGGCAGAAAGACGGUAAACCAAAGAACAAGCUGGGAAAUAAAGAUGGCGUCGUUUUGGGGGAUUCCCAAUCUGUCCUCGUAAUCUUUAUGUUAAUUUUUGAUAGAAUUCCUUAUCAUGCUUUCGACUGUCUUCGGAUGUCUCGCCGUCUUCCUGACUCCGGGGCUGUGCUGUCAGCUCAAGGAAUAUUCUACCACGGAUGGUCAAUGUUGUCCAAUGUGCCACGAAGGUUCAGUUGUUCGAAGAGACUGCACUCGUCAGACAGGCACACGGUGCAUCCCCUGUGUGAAUGGGACAUUUAUGAACGAACCCAAUGGCCUGAAUAAAUGUAACCCCUGCA
Molecule: long non-coding RNA, 436 nt
Organism: Anoplopoma fimbria (sablefish)
Lineage: Eukaryota; Metazoa; Chordata; Actinopteri; Perciformes; Anoplopomatidae
Exons: 3
Source: RefSeq, a predicted model, not a curated record